This 474-nucleotide long non-coding RNA is filed under the name Medicago truncatula (barrel medic). Its description in RNAcentral is "lncRNA gene872". The record is from RNAcentral. Lineage: Eukaryota; Viridiplantae; Streptophyta; Magnoliopsida; Fabales; Fabaceae.
GUUGUGUUGUACCAAGCUGCAUUGGUCGAACAACAAGUGGUUAUGUGUGAUGCCUAUUAAUGCUAAUGCAUAAAUGAAGAGAAUCUGCAAUUUUCAGCAGCAGAUGGUAAUUUUAGGGGUCUAGGUAAGUAUCAUUUAAGAGCUGGUGUUUGAUAAAAUUUAAUCCUGCAAAAUGCUGCAGGUUGUAGACUGUACUGUUUGUUUUUUGUGUUUGGUCUCUCAUGUGAAGGCUAAAUUUUUUGAGGUUAACUUUUAGGCUUGGUGAAUCUUGUGCUUGUGUCUUUGAACUGUAUUCAUGUCUUGGCCUCUUGGGUAGCUGUGCUAUUUUUACUGGUAAUUGUAUUUUUCUUUUUCAUAUUCUAGCACACCUUAUGCUUGGUAAUUACCAUCUUAUGCUUGGUCAUUUGAAAAAACAUAAGAUGGUAAUUGACGGUGCAAAGACAAAAUGUUGUAACUUUGAAAAUUAAGGCAUUU